AUUAGCCUGACAGAAGGGCGGGAUGUGUUUCGCUGGAACCUUACUACAUCAGGGUCUUUCACCGUAGACUCUAUGUAUUGUGCACUCACGCAUUCUGAGGUACCGGUGAGUAAUAGUAAGAAAAUUUGGAGAUCGAAGAUACCACUAAAAGUUAAAGUCUUCAUGUGCUAUCUUCGUAAGGGAGUUGUUCUAACCAAAGACAACCUCGCACGGCGCAAUUGGCAAGGGAGUAAGAAGUGUUGUUUUUUACUCAUGAUGAGACCAUCAGACACCUCUUUUUCCAAUGCAACUUUGCAUGUUCUACAUGGCCAGUCAUCCAAAUAG
Molecule: ribosomal RNA, 324 nt
Filed under: Triticum aestivum (bread wheat)
Lineage: Eukaryota; Viridiplantae; Streptophyta; Magnoliopsida; Poales; Poaceae
Description: partial small subunit ribosomal RNA
Source: RNAcentral